This 492-nucleotide ribosomal RNA is filed under the name uncultured bacterium. RNAcentral's name for it is "partial 16S ribosomal RNA". It matches the Rfam family "Bacterial small subunit ribosomal RNA", at positions 29 to 507 of the family's 1533-position model. The record is from RNAcentral.
AGUGAACGCUGGCGGUAUGCCUAAUACAUGCAAGUCGAACGGCAGCACAGGAAGAGUGUGCUCUUACGGGUGGCGAGUGGCGGAUGGGUGAGGAGUAGAUAGGAAUCUACUAUUUCUGGGGGGACAUCGGAGGGAAACAGAUACUACUAGCGCAUAUGUUCUACGGGUUGAAGCAGUAGUUAUUGGCACCUUUGCCGACUGAUUUAGACGGUGCCGGAUUAGCUAGUUGGCUGGGUAAAGGCCCACCAAGGCAACGAUCCGUAGCUGACCUGAGAGGAUGAUCAGCCACACUGGAACUGAGACACGGUCCAGACUCCUACGGGAGGCAGCAGUGGGGAAUAUUCGACAAUGGGCGCAAGCCUGACGCAGCAAUGCCGCGUGAGUGAUGAAGGCCUUCGGAUUGUAAAGCCCUGUUGUUAGGAAAGAAAAGCAGCGUAUUAAUCCACCGCUGUUCUGACGGUACCCAAAGAGAAAGCCACGGCUAACUUCGUG